GUGCUUGCUUCGGCAACACAUAUACUAAAAUCGGAAUGACACAGAGAUUAGCAUGGCCCCUGUGUAAGGAUGACAUGGAAAUUUGUGAAGCGUUCCUUAUUUUU
Small nuclear RNA from Psammomys obesus (fat sand rat), 104 nucleotides. The record is from RefSeq and is a predicted model, not a curated record. NCBI's taxonomy places the organism in Eukaryota, Metazoa, Chordata, Mammalia, Rodentia, Muridae.